CUAAGCAUAUCAAUAAGCGGAGGAAAAGAAACUAACAAGGAUUCCCCUAGUAACUGCGAGUGAAGCGGGAUGAGCUCAAAUUUGAAAUCUGGCGGUUCUGCCGUCCGAGUUGUAAUCUGGAGAAGCGUCUUCCGUGCCGGACCGUGUACAAGUCCCUUGGAACAGGGCGUCAUAGAGGGUGAGAAUCCCGUCUUUGACACGGACUCCCGGUGCUCUGCGAUGCGCUCUCGAAGAGUCGAGUUGUUUGGGAAUGCAGCUCAAAAUGGGUGGUAAAUUCCAUCUAAAGCUAAAUAUUGGCGAGAGACCGAUAGCGAACAAGUACCGUGAGGGAAAGAUGAAAAGCACUUUGGAAAGAGAGUAAAACAGUACGUGAAAUUGUUGAAAGGGAAACGCUUGAAGUCAGUCGCGUCUUCUGGGACUCAGCCUUGCUCUGCUCGGUGCACUUCCCAGUUUGACGGGUCAGCAUCGGCUCUGGUGGGCGGACAAAGGCGUGGGGAAGGUGGCAGCCUCGGCUGUGUUAUAGCCCCGCGUUACACGUCCACCGGGACCGAGGAAUCCGGCGCUCGCGCCUGGGAUGCUGGCGUAAUGGCUUUAAACGACCCGUCUUGAAACACGGACCAAGGAGUGCUACAUGCUCGCGAGUGUUUGGGUGGAAAACCCGAGCGCGAAAUGAAAGUGAAAGUCGAGACCCUUUGCGGGGGCACCGACGCCCGAGCCUGAUGUUUUCGGAAGGCCUUGCGGUAGAGCGAGUAUGUUGCGACCCGAAAGAUGGUGAACUAUUCCUGAGGAGGGCGAAGCCAGAGGAAACUCUGGUGGAGGCUCGUAGCGGUUCUGACGUGCAAAUCGAUCGCAGGACU
This 857-nucleotide ribosomal RNA is filed under the name Subulicystidium longisporum. RNAcentral describes it as "partial large subunit ribosomal RNA". It matches the Rfam family "Eukaryotic large subunit ribosomal RNA", at positions 34 to 911 of the family's 3401-position model. The record is from RNAcentral. Lineage: Eukaryota; Fungi; Basidiomycota; Agaricomycetes; Trechisporales; Hydnodontaceae.